GACGAACGCUGGCGGCGUGCUUAACACAUGCAAGUCGAACGGAGAGGCUCGGGCUUGCUGGCGUGGACGAGUGGCGAACGGGUGAGUAACACGUGAGGAACCUGCCCCUGACUCUGGGAUAAGCGCUGGAAACGGCGGCUAAUACAGGAUACGAGAUGGUUCCGCAUGGGGACUUUCUGUAAAGUUCGGCGGUUGGGGAUGGGCUCGCGGGUUAUCAGCUUGUUGGUCAGGUAGUGGCUGACCAAGGCAACGAUGGGUAGCCGGCCUGGGAGGGCGAACGGGCACCAUGGGCCUGCGGCAGGGCCCAGAAUCCAAUGGGAGGCAGCAGGGGGGAACAUUGCGGAAUGGGGGCAAGCCUGAUGCAGCGACGCCGGGUGCGGGAUGACGGCCUUCGGGGUGUAAACCUAUUUCAGCAGGGAAGAAGCGAAAGUGACGGUACCUGCAGAAGAAGCACCGGCUAACUACGUG
RNAcentral lists this ribosomal RNA (468 nucleotides) under uncultured bacterium. RNAcentral's name for it is "partial 16S ribosomal RNA". It matches the Rfam family "Bacterial small subunit ribosomal RNA", at positions 28 to 507 of the family's 1533-position model. The record is from RNAcentral.